This 509-nucleotide ribosomal RNA is filed under the name uncultured bacterium. RNAcentral's name for it is "bacterial SSU rRNA". It matches the Rfam family "Bacterial small subunit ribosomal RNA", at positions 30 to 518 of the family's 1533-position model. The record is from RNAcentral.
CGAACGCUGGCGGCGUGCUUAACACAUGCAAGGCGAACGCGAAAGGGACUUCGGUCCUGAGUAAAGUGGCGCACGGGUGAGUAACGCGUAGAUAACCUGUCUUCAUGUCUGGAAUAAUACGCCGAAAGGGGUACUAAUACCGGAUAUUCUUGCUUUUCAUAAGUUAUGCAAGCAAAGGUGGCCUCUGCAUAUGCUACUGCAUGAAGAGGGGUCUGCGUACCAUUAGCUAGUAGGUGGGGUAAUGGCCUACCUAGGCGACGAUGGUUAGCGGGUCUGAGAGGAUGAUCCGCCACACUGGCACUGGAACACGGGCCAGACUCCUACGGGAGGCAGCAGUGAGGAAUAUUGCGCAAUGGGGGAAACCCUGACGCAGCGACGCCGCGUGAGUGAAGGAAGGCCUUCGGGUCGUAAAGCUCUGUCAAGAGGAAAGAAGUGUACAAUGGCUAAUACCUGUUGUAUUUGACGGUACCUCUAAAGGAAGCACCGGCUAACUCCGUGCCAGCCGCAGC